RNAcentral lists this ribosomal RNA (251 nucleotides) under uncultured prokaryote. Its description in RNAcentral is "partial 16S ribosomal RNA". It matches the Rfam family "Bacterial small subunit ribosomal RNA", at positions 525 to 775 of the family's 1533-position model. The record is from RNAcentral.
ACGUAGGACGCAAGCGUUAUCCGGAAUUACUGGGCGUAAAGGGCGUGUAGGCGGCACGGUAAGUCGACCGUGAAAGCUCCCGGCUAAACCGGGAGAGGUCGGUUGAGACUGCCGAGCUAGAGGGGCGUAGAGGGGUGUGGAAUUCCGGGUGUAGUGGUGAAAGGCGUAGAGAUCCGGAGGAAUACCAGAGGCGAAGGCGACACCCUGGGCCGUACCUGACGCUAAGGCGCGACAGCGCGGGGAGCGAACGG